UCCUGUGACUCCUCACUAGGACUAUCCUAGCUAAGGUUUUGCUAAACUGAAACACGACUGUACACAGCUCCUGAACUGGAGUGGUCAAUCCCAUCUUGACACACGCACUGACAAGUCAAGUACUUGACUACACCCAGCAGCCUUCUGUCACUGAAUUAAAAAUUCAGAUAGUCCAGUGCCUAAGUACAGUAAGUUGCUUGCAAGUCACCGUGGCGGUCUCAAGUCAGAGGGAUAGUUAUACCCAUAUCCCAUCGAAGCAAAUCUUGACAGUAGAAAAAGCUCUGGAGUCGGUCAUGUUCAGUGCAGAUGUACCCUUACAUCUCACUUGUAUGCCAUACUAGUGUCUCCACACUCCUUGGUUAAAAGGACAACCAACUCAUAUGGCACAAAAUGACCUAUGCUUGAUCGAAGAGUCCCAAACCAGUGGGACUCUUGACCCUGGUACCCAAAAUGUAUGGAACUCGUGAUCAGAGAAUCCUGAUUCUCGAUCACAGAGUCCCAGACAUGUAGGACUCAGAGUCUCCAAGCAUUAGGACUCUUGGU
RNAcentral lists this long non-coding RNA (543 nucleotides) under Elaeis guineensis (African oil palm). RNAcentral describes it as "long non-coding RNA (EGUI_LNC073719)". Lineage: Eukaryota; Viridiplantae; Streptophyta; Magnoliopsida; Arecales; Arecaceae. The record is from RNAcentral.